UGGCGGCGUGCUAACACAUGCAAGUCGAACGGGGAGUAUACUGGAGGAGAGCUUCGGCAGGAAUCGGGUAUAUUCCAGUGGCGGACGGGUGAGUAACGCGUGAGCAACCUGUCCCAGACAGGGGGAUAACACUUGGAAACAGGUGCUAAUACCGCAUAAGACCACGGGGUCACAUGGCCCAGGGGUAAAAGGAGCAAUCCGGUUUGGGGUGGGCUCGCGUCCGAUUAGAUAGUUGGUGAGGUAACGGCCCACCAAGUCGACGAUCGGUAGCCGACCUGAGAGGGUGAUCGGCCACAUUGGAACUGAGACACGGCCCAGACUCCUGCGGGAGGCAGCAGUGGGGAAUAUUGCACAAUGGGGGAAACCCUGAUGCAAGCGACGCCGCGUGAGUGAAGAAGUAUUUCGGUAUGUAAAGCUCUUUCGGCAGGGAAGAAGAUGACGGUACCUGCAGAAGAAGCCCCGGCUAACUACGUGCCAGCAGCCGC
Molecule: ribosomal RNA, 485 nt
Filed under: uncultured bacterium
Lineage: Bacteria
Description: bacterial SSU rRNA
Rfam family: Bacterial small subunit ribosomal RNA
Source: RNAcentral